This 1582-nucleotide long non-coding RNA is filed under the name Marmota monax (woodchuck). The record is from RNAcentral. Lineage: Eukaryota; Metazoa; Chordata; Mammalia; Rodentia; Sciuridae.
GCUUUAGGACAUAAAAACAGCCUUUAAACCAAAUCAUGUACAUCUCCCUCAAUACUUUUCCUGUCAUCUUUUCUAGCACAACAAAAUCUUGAGCAAUUUUGGACCCAGCAAACAUAGACUUCCCAGGACAGACCGCUUGUCCUUGCCAUGGUCCUUCAUGCUCUGGUGAUGGAGAUCGCAGGGGUUCAGCAGCCCUCCAGCUAAUCACUUCUCCCUCCGAGAGGAGUAGCUAUUGCCUUGCAUCUCUGCCUCAUCAAAGGAGAACCAAAUUGGCUUGUGGGCAUUCUACUGGGAUUGGUAUGUGGCAUGUUGCAUUAAUAGAGUGUUUGAAGUACAGCCUUCAGAAAGUAUGCUUCCAUUUGCCACACUUUAUCAUAAUCAGAGACUCAGAGCAUCGACCACAAGAAAGAACAGAGUCUGAAGUCUUUAUUGAAUGAAAGAUAGAUAAGCAGAGUAGGGCAGGAGAAAGGUUGUAGAAAAGACCCAAUUCAUGUUUUCAAUAACCAUGCACAUUUCCACAAUGUCUUAGGAGCAAGAUUAUGUCUUACAAGCAAGAUGACUCAAGGACGUUGUGGGGAAUGAGCGUGAAUUGACAAGACAAACUUCCAUAGUCUCUGGAGUGAUGUGCAAGGGUGACCCCAAAGGUCAAAGGACUCAGAUCAUAAACUCAUAGUGGGAAGGAACAAAAGAGAUCAGCUCCUCAUGUUAAAACUGGGACAGCUGAAGCUCAGGGAGUAUAUAGACUUAACCAAGGUCACGCAGGUGGUUGGUGAUGGAACAAGACCUGAAGUAUCCAGGUUUCCAGCAUCUGUUUAUGACCUCACGCUGACUUUUAGGAGGACAUGACUAUGAGCAAACAUAAAGGUUUUCAGAUGGCAGAAACCAAGGCACGGGUGUAAAAGGCCAGGGAAGUAUUCCAGGAGGACACAGAAUAAACUGAAGAGGCUUUGAAGAAUAGAUCCCAUUUAAAUAAAAGGGGAGCAGAGGACACUGCAGAAAGCAGGGGAUGCCCUCCAUCUGCCCAGAAUGUGCCAAACCUGGCAUCUCAAUAUCAGAACAAAGAGAUAAGCAGAUUCUUGUGAUGAAAAAUUGCUACCGCAGUAAAAUUAAAUCCCCCUUCCCGGAAGAAACAUAAGCCCUUGUAAAGACAAGAAAUCUAAACCUCUGUGUCCUCACUUAAUAGUUUAAAGAAACUUACAAGAUCCUUGAAAGGUUGAAGAGAGAAGCGGGGUAGAAUUCACUUUUUCUCCCUGCUUAAAGGAAUAGUGUUUCCUGCUAACAGCUGUAACACUCAGGAAGCACCAGAGGGUUUCAUCCCUGGUAGGGCAGCAGGGCAGGGACAGUUCCCCAGAGCGUGGGAGGGGAAUCCAGCUUCCCCAGAGGCUCAGCCAAUCACCAGUGGGGGAGGCACUCCAGGAAGCCUGAGACUCCCUCUCAGCUCAUUGGCCCAUCACUCAUCUCCCCCAACUAGGAUGGGAUGAAGGCUCUAAAACCAAGACACCAAGACAGCCGCUCACGUUGGCCAGCAUUCAUGAAACAAUUUGCAGGCGAAAAACGUAGAACCCAGGAUGGAGACGUACAU